AUGGACAUCGUAGACACUGCUCAAUUCCCCUUUUAUGGGAAGGAGGCCAGCUUUUUCAGGACCCCCCCAGCGAUCCGGGAUUUUGUGGAUGGAUUCUAUAAGUCACUAUUUGCCGGGCGACCUAGGGGUGGUGUCUCUCUAGGGGACCACAUAUGGACGCCAAGCCAACAUAUCUCCCCUGUAGAGAAUGCUGCUCUCCUCGCAUCCUUUGAUGCCACUAAGGUGGAGACUUUUGUGAAAGCAAUGAACCCGGCCUCGGCCCUGGGUCCCAAAUGGUCUGUCGGUCCGGUUGUUCCAAGCUUUCUGGCUGAUGGUCAAGGAUGUCAUCCUCGACCUGUUCCUUGA
Molecule: ribosomal RNA, 345 nt
Filed under: Triticum aestivum (bread wheat)
Lineage: Eukaryota; Viridiplantae; Streptophyta; Magnoliopsida; Poales; Poaceae
Description: partial small subunit ribosomal RNA
Source: RNAcentral